Acanthochromis polyacanthus (spiny chromis) is the source of this 315-nucleotide long non-coding RNA. RefSeq lists it as uncharacterized. The record is from RefSeq and is a predicted model, not a curated record. Lineage: Eukaryota; Metazoa; Chordata; Actinopteri; Pomacentridae. The transcript is spliced from 3 exons.
GUUUGUUUAAGGAACCAAAAGGUUUGUUUAAGGAACCCAGAGGUUUGUUUAAGGAACCCAGAGGUUUGCUUAAGGAACCCAAAGGUUUGUUUAAGGAACCCAGAGGUUUGUUUAAGGAACCCAGAGGUUUGCUUAAGGAACCCAGAGGUUUGCUUAAGGAACCCAAAGUUUUUUUUGCUGUUUUUUUUUUUUAACAGAUCUUUUCUUGAUCUCACUGUAAACUUAAAUAAUAAUUGUGGUUCCUUUCAGUCUUGUGGUUCUGUUGGUUUGUUGGAUCAUUUUGUAGAAUUCAUAAAAACAAAGAAUCUCACUAAU